Molecule: long non-coding RNA, 409 nt
Filed under: Sus scrofa (pig)
Lineage: Eukaryota; Metazoa; Chordata; Mammalia; Artiodactyla; Suidae
Description: lncRNA (ENSSSCG00025041398.1)
Source: RNAcentral
AGGGGCCCUGGGACCUGGCGCCAGCUUCCUUGCCUGGCCAGCUGCCUUUGCACACUGCAGGUGGCCAGAAUUUCCUGGAUCCCCAGGGAAAAAGGAGCAUGUUGGAAGAGACCAUGCAGUAGAAGUCUCCUCAUCACAGGUCACAUUCCUAGAGGGAGGAGAUUUCCCUUUGGUGAAAUGUUUUUUCUGUUUAUACCGUUGCUGAACGAACGGAACCUUACACUGUAUGAAGCUGUUUUCAUGCAUUAUUACACUUGCGUCAGGUAGGAUGAUGCUGGUGCCAUCAGAGGUCCAGGGUUUUCUAUUCACUUGAGGUCCAGUCUUAGUGUCUUUCUUUUGUCCUCAUGCUGAACUCUUCCAUUGCAAGAUGGACACUCAAGUUCAUGAAACAUCCUGACUGGGUUCAGAC